This is a non-coding RNA of Manis javanica (Malayan pangolin), 4160 nucleotides long. The record is from RefSeq and is a predicted model, not a curated record. Lineage: Eukaryota; Metazoa; Chordata; Mammalia; Pholidota; Manidae.
CCGGGGAGGGCGCGGGGCGAGUCGCCCGCGCGGUGUGAAUAUUCAUCAGGGGUGGGGCGCGAACAAUGGCCGGGCGGUGGGCAGCCGCCCCGCCCCGCGCCCUCGGAGACGGCCCGGGGUCCUCCGGCCAGGUGCUGGGGCGAAAUUUGAGCAUCACUCAGGCUGCCUGGACCCAAGACUUUCAGCAGAAACAGAAUCCAAAACAGCUCCUCAAAUUGCCUUGUGCCCGAGUUCCUCACUUCAUUCAGUAGGUCUGGAGGCCAGAAAUCUGAAGUCAGGAUGUCAGCAGAACCAUGCUCCCUCUGAAGCUUGUAGGGGAGUCAGUCCUCCUCGCCCCUGCCUGGCUUCUGGUAGUUGCUGUGUACUGGCUGAUCCAGGCUAACAGCUGCAGACUCUGAUCACAUGGCGUUCUCCUAUGUGUCUGUCUGUCUCUGCACAAGACUGUCUUCUUUAGGGACACCAGUCAUUGUUGGGUUAAGGUCCCAACCUCCCCAGUGUGAUUACAUCUUAACUAAUUAUACCCACAGCAACCCUACUUCCAAGUAAGGACACAUUCUGAGGUACUGGGGGUUAGAAAUUCAACACAUCGUUUUUAGGGGAGAACAUAAGUCAACCUGUAACACUAAUUUAACAAUUACUUACAUUUCUUAAAGAAGUUGAAGACCAUUAUUCUUUCUUACCCUAAUGUAGUCGUUUCCACAACUUAGCACAUGGAUAGUUAAGGAAAGUAAGUGGUAGUUUUGAUAGUUUUGCUAUGGCUCCCUCACCUUCUGUCUUGCCACCUCUCUUGUUACCUAACAUGUAAUUAUUAGGCACAUACUGAGUCUGUAGCACUGGUUAAACCUAUCAAAAUUAAAAAUCACACAAAACUCUCCUUACCAUUAACUACAAGUUGCUUUCAUUUACACCAUAAUUUUCAAAUAGGCUGACUUUGUAAUGAAUGACUUCAGUUUGAAAAUCACUAUGAAGAAUUAUCUUUAAGAUAGAUUGUAAAAAAUUUCUUAGACCUUUUUAUAAAUAUAUAACAGAUGAUAGGGAAAAAAGAAGGAAGAAAACUAAAGUAGAAAUGGGUACCAGUAGAAAUUAUUUCUACUUGUUGUAAGGCCAGAGGGAAUAUUUUUUCAGCAGUGAGUUAUCUCUAAUUUGGUUGGCAUAUUUGUGAAUUAGCUAAAUGUUAAAAUAGUGUCUUACUGGCUUUGAAGUACUUUUUGUGACCUUUUCCCACUGCAUUGCUGGAAAUAGUUUCACUUUUUUUAAUUGAAAUUUACGCAUAUUUAUUUAAUAUUUUGAAAGAAUGUGAUAUUUUGCUAAGUUUGAUAGAAUUGCUUGAUAUAAAAAUACAUGUAAGGGAAUAUAGUGUGGCAUGGAUAAAACAAGGGUGACUUUCUGUAUAUUUUCUGUACAUGACUGUAUUGCUGCUGCAUGCUUUUGGAAGCAAAAAUAUUUGUUUCACUUGUUAACGUGUGUGCAUUUAUUUUAAUGAGUAUUUAUGAAGCCCUCAUUGACAUCUUCAAAUCAGCAUGUGGAUUCCAUCAUGCAGUUAUUCCCUUUUAUUUCCAUUUUCUUGUUAGGAAUGCUUUGUUUGUGUCUCAAAAGCUAAGGAAAUUAAAUUCACAGCUAUGUCAGUACAAUGAAACUUUGCCACACACAAGUCAGGAAAUUAGAAUUUGUUGUUCUCCCAGCAGCUGGUGUUUGGCUCUUCUGAACAUUUUAUGUUAGAGAAGUUAAAAGAGCGGCAGUUUUUCCUGACAGGAAUUGUGUUAGGGUACAAAAUAAUACCACUUUUACCCACUCAGGACAGAGGACUGUGGGCCGGGCAGACCCCACCAGCUCUGGAUCUGGGUCCUCAACCUCUCUCACUCCAACUCCUCUUCUCUGCAAAUUACAAACCACCUGUGCUGAUGUGGCAUGGGUGGUUUGCAGCAUACUGUGGUAGCUCCCAGCACAGCUACUAUUGCUAGUUGCCCCCGUUACUGGGUGUCACAAUGUGCCAGGCAUUCUACCAGGUGCUCUGCUUGCACUAUUCCAUUUCACCCUCACACAGCCCCAGGCAGCAAGCACUUCUGUUAUCCCAGUUUCACAGAUGAGAAAGCCAAGACUUAGAGACAUUAAAUAAUUUGGCCUUGAUUGCCCCUUUAGUAGCAAAUCCAGGAUUAAAAAUCAGAGUCAUGUGGACAACUUAUGUUUUGACCAGUAAGUUUUAGGUAACUUAGGCAUUUUAACCAAGUCUUGGAAGGUCUGAUUUCCCUAACACAAAAGAGAGACUUAAAAAAAAUUACAUUCUUCUGAUUAUAAAUAAAACACAUAUUCACUGAAGAAAAUACAGAGAAGUAUAAAUAAGAAUAAAAUUUACCUAUAAUCCUUAAGAACAAUCAUUAACACUUAAUAUAUUUCCUUUGUCUUUUUUCUAAGCAUGUGUGUGUGUGUGUGUGUGUUUGUAUUUUUUAAUGUAAUCAGAAUUGUACCAUUAGGUGACCUUCUUUUCACUCCAUAUAUUAUAAACAUUUCCACAUCAUUAAAUACCCUGUUACAACCUACUGUUAAUGGCCAUAUUGACUAUAAUGUAAUUCCUGUGGUGUUGGGUAGUUAGAAAGUUUCUAAUUAAUCGUGGUUUUAAAUACCACCUCUGCUAGUAAUGAUUUCCUUAAGAGAAGUUCCUAGACAUAGAACUGCAAAACCAUGAACAUCUAUAAGGUUCUUGGUAUAUUUUGUCGAACUCCCUCCAAAAAGGCUCUGUCGAAUUAUGAGUGGGGGUAGUUGAGAGGUGUGUAUUUCAAGUUUUCAUAUAGCCUCUUGAGGGAGAUACCAUGGAGAAUGUAGAUCAUCCUUUGUUUUUCAAGACAUACCUUAUGGGUAGUCACCCCAUGGCUCCCAGUGGGUUCCAGGAAGGACGUUUGAUCCACCAGAGAAAGGCUGGGACAGAGGAUGUUUCAGCAGGCCUCUGCACUGCCUGCCCAGCUCACGACUGUGAAUUUAGUGGUCCCUGAGAAGUACGGACCACUAAAGUAAGUGAGGCAGUGGGAAAAUGGCAGGACAUUUACUAGUUUAUGGAGGUUUUUUCUGCCCACUGCUUCCUCUGGUCUUUAUCACAGCCUUGAAUGAUGCAGCUUUAUGACCAUUGGCACUUUGCAGAGGAUGAUGGUUAAAUUUAGGCAAUGUAAGCGCCUUACUUAAAAUAAUGCCACCCUCUGCAGAGCAGCGCAAGCAAUGUCUGCUUAUUCUACUCUCCCGCAUCAAGCUGCCUCUCCCCAAGAAAAAAAAAGCCUCUAUGUCAAAGAUUCUGCCACUCAACAAGUGGAAAUACUUGGCCUUAUAUUAAGGACCCCUUGAACUUGCUCUACAAGUUAUUAUCAUUAUUUUUCAACAUUUGCCGAAUUCCAGCCACAUAAUAGGUGCUGUCCCAGACAGAUGGUCCUGAGCCUUUGAGCUUGAGAUCUUGAGAAACCAGCAAGCCUGGCAAACGUGAGAAAUGAAGGGAAUGCACUUAGUUAAAAUGGGGCCUGAAAAAGGGCACUUUGGGCAAUUACAUGUCUGGUUACACAUUCUUGACAACUAUUUAGAACUCUGACUGACUGUGCAAAGACAAUGCCCAGUUUGUUGGCCUGAACAAAGGCAAAAUAGGAUGAACCCCAGGACUGAUUCUAUGCACCAUGCUGGAAUGUUGAAACAAGAAAGCCAAGGAUCACUGUAUGUGAUAUGUACUUAAACUCACUAAAGAGGAAGAAAAACAAGAGCUUAGAGAGUAGUCCCAGGUUUGCCUGUUCAUUUCAGAUGUGUUUAAUAUGUCAUACAUACACACAAAAUUUGAACUUCACCAAAUACCUGCUUCUCUUACACAGUAUUAAAGUGGGGCAGGAAGGAAGCAUGAGACAGUUUGUAAAGGAAGUGAGUUGUAGCUGUAGCUCUACAGGGACUUGACUGCUGUUUGGGUUUUGGUGACUCUGUGUGUCUGAAGCAUCCAUGGCCCAAACCCAGGAGAGAAUAGCACAUUGACCCCUGAAACUGACUCUGAUGGGGGAGUGAGUAAUAAAGUGUGGCUAACACAGAGGCUUUAAUAUUUUAUGUUUUAAUUUGCAUGCAAUAAAACAUGCUUCAUUAUAUGCACAUUUGAAUAUAAUAAAACAUUGAAAAUAUCUUUUCAGCAUAUUUCUACAUAGGUG